GAUGAACGCUGGCGGCGUGCCUAACACAUGCAAGUCGAACGGAAACACAGUGAGCGUUUGCCCUUACGGUUGGCGGGUGGCGGACGGGUGACGAGUGCAUCAGCUUCUUCUUUUUCGUGGGGAAUAACGUAGGGCAGGUUAUGCUACUACAGCAUAUGAUGUACCGGUGGGAGCAGUGGAUAUUCGGACCUUGCGUGACUGUAUUAGCCGAUGCCGGAUUAGCUAGUUGGGGGGGUAAAGGCACACCAAGGCGACGAUACGUAGCUGGACUGAGAGGAUGAUCAGCCACACUGGAACUGAGACACGGUCCAGACUCCUACGGGAGGCAGCAGUGGGGAAUAUUGGACAAAGGGCGCAAGCCUGACCCAGCCAUACCGCGUGAGUGAAGAAGGCCUUCGGGUUGUAAAGCCCUUUUAUUGGGAAAGAACAGCUGUGGGUUAAUACCCCGCUGUUCUGACGGUACCCAAUGAAUAAGCACCGGCUAACUUCGUG
This 492-nucleotide ribosomal RNA is filed under the name uncultured bacterium. Its description in RNAcentral is "partial 16S ribosomal RNA". It matches the Rfam family "Bacterial small subunit ribosomal RNA", at positions 28 to 507 of the family's 1533-position model. The record is from RNAcentral.